AUGUAGAUGAAUUAUUUCUAAAUUUAUAAAAUUUAUCAGAAAUGUAUAAAUUCCUAGAAUUCAACUUAAAAACACGGUUAUAUAGGGCUUUCUCAGUUUGAAUAUGGAUGGAAAUUAUAUCAUCAAGUAAACAUAACUAGUGCACCAUUUGUUAUUUUAUGUGAGACAAAAUAGAACAGUAAAUGACCAUUUCAAAGUUAAUUUGAAAUAUCAUGCAAUGGAAAAUGAAU
This 230-nucleotide long non-coding RNA is filed under the name Mytilus galloprovincialis (Mediterranean mussel). The record is from RNAcentral. Lineage: Eukaryota; Metazoa; Mollusca; Bivalvia; Mytilida; Mytilidae.